This 443-nucleotide ribosomal RNA is filed under the name uncultured bacterium. Its description in RNAcentral is "partial 16S ribosomal RNA". It matches the Rfam family "Bacterial small subunit ribosomal RNA", at positions 338 to 795 of the family's 1533-position model. The record is from RNAcentral.
CCUACGGGUGGCUGCAGUGGGGAAUAUUGGGCAAUGGGCGCAAGCCUGACCCAGCAACGCCGCGUGAAGGAAGAAGGCUUUCGGGUUGUAAACUUCUUUUCUGAGGGACGAAGAAAGUGACGGUACCUCAGGAAUAAGCCACGGCUAACUACGUACCAGCAGCCGCGGUAAUACGUAGGUGGCAAGCGUUAUCCGGAGUUAUUGGGUGUAAAGGGCGGGUAGGCGGGAAAGCAAGUCAGAUGUUAAAACUCAGGGCUCAACCCUGAGCCUGCAUUUGAAACUGUUUUUCUGGAGUGCUGGAGAGGCAAUCGGAAUUCCGGGUGUAGCCGUGAAAUGCGUAGAUAUACGGAGGAACACCAGUGGCGAAGGCGGAUUGCUGGACAGUAACUGACGCUGAGGCGCGAAAGCGUGGGGAGCAAACAGGAUUAGAUACCCCUGUAGUC